ACAGAGAGUGCAAACGUUGUUCGGAAUUACUGGGCUUGAAGCGCACGUAGGCGGCGUUGUAAGUGUCGGGUGAAAUCCCACGGCUCACCCGUGGAACUGCCCGGCAUACUGCGAUGCUAGAGUGUGGUAGGGGAGAGCGGAACUCCUGGUGGAGCGGUGAAAUGCGUAGAUAUCAGGAGGAACACCGGUGGCGAAGGCGGCUCUCUGGUCCACAACUGACGCUGAGGUGCGAAAGCUAGGGGAGCAAACGGGA
Molecule: ribosomal RNA, 253 nt
Filed under: uncultured prokaryote
Description: partial 16S ribosomal RNA
Rfam family: Bacterial small subunit ribosomal RNA
Source: RNAcentral